Molecule: unclassified non-coding RNA, 310 nt
Filed under: Chytridiomycota sp.
Lineage: Eukaryota; Fungi; Chytridiomycota
Description: partial contains small subunit ribosomal RNA, internal transcribed spacer 1, and 5.8S ribosomal RNA
Rfam family: Eukaryotic small subunit ribosomal RNA (bases 1-47)
Source: RNAcentral
AAAGUCGUAACAAGGUAACCGUAGGUGAACCUGCGGUUGGAUCAUUAACAAUUUUAGCAGGAGCUUGUCUAUGGAUGAGGUCCUGUGAAAAAUCAAUCACCUUUUGUGCACUGUCUGUCUCUGGCGGCCGGGGCAAAGUAACCUUACUCUAGGUUGCAUAGCUCUGUCAGCUUGGUACCAGCACUUGUGUACCAGGCCGUGGACAAACCGCCAACCACUUUGUUUAACUCCCUGUUUUAAUCUCCUGUCUAACAAUUUUCUUUGUAUUAAACAUACAAUAAAACUUUUGGCAACGGAUCUCUUGGCUCUC